GUAAGUGUUUAAGAGCGUACGGUGGAUGCCUUGGCACCAGGAGCCGAUGAAGGACGUAGGAGGCUGCGAUAAGCCUCGGGGAGCUGUCAACCGAGCUGAGAUCCGAGGAUUUCCGAAUGGGGAAACCCAGCACGAGUGAUGUCGUGUUACCCGCAUCUGAAUAUAUAGGGUGUGUGGAGGGAACGUGGGGAAGUGAAACAUCUCAGUACCCACAGGAAGAGAAAACAACAGUGAUUCCGUGAGUAGUGGCGAGCGAAAGCGGAUGAGGCUAAACCAGGAGCGUGUGAUACCCGGCAGGGGUUGCGUUCUUGGGGUUGUGGGGCUCAUUUUCUUCAUUCUGCCGGAUGGAGCGAGAGUCAGAAACCGUUGGGUUAGUCGAAGUGGUCUGGAACGGCCUGUCGUAGAGGGUGAGAAUCCCGUAGACGAAAAUUCAACGGCUCUUGUAGUGAGUACCCGAGUAGCAGCGGGCCCGUGAAAUCUGCUGUGAAUCUGUCGGGACCACCCGAUAAGCCUGAAUACUCCCUGGUGACCGAUAGCGGACUAGUACCGUGAGGGAAAGGUGAAAAGUACCCCGGGAGGGGAGUGAAAUAGUACCUGAAACCGUGCGCUUACAAUCCGUCAGAGCCUUCCAUUUCGGUGGUGGGGUGAUGGCGUGCCUUUUGAAGAAUGAGCCUGCGAGUUAGUGGCAUGUGGCGAGGUUAACCCGUGUGGGGUAGCCGUAGCGAAAGCGAGUCCGAAUAGGGCGUUUGGAGUCGCAUGUUCUAGACCCGAAGCGGAGUGAUCUACCCAUGGCCAGGGUGAAGCGACGGUAAGACGUCGUGGAGGCCCGAACCCACUUAGGUUGAAAACUGAGGGGAUGAGCUGUGGGUAGGGGUGAAAGGCCAAUCAAACUCCGUGAUAGCUGGUUCUCCCCGAAAUGCAUUUAGGUGCAGCGUCGCGUGUUUCUCACCGGAGGUAGAGCUACUGGAUGGUCUAGGGGGCCUACAAGCUUACCGAAAUCAGCCAAACUCCGAAUGCCGGUGAGUGAGAGCGCGGCAGUGAGACUGCGGGGGAUAAGCUUCGUAGUCGAGAGGGAAACAGCCCAGAUCGCCGGCUAAGGCCCCUAAGCGUGUACUAAGUGGAAAAGGAUGUGGAGUCGCGAAGACAACCAGGAGGUUGGCUUAGAAGCAGCCACCCUUGAAAGAGUGCGUAAUAGCUCACUGGUCAAGUGAUUCUGCGCCGACAAUGUAGCGGGGCUCAAGUACACCGCCGAAGCCGCGGCAUUCAGACAUUAUCCCGCCUUCGGGCCAGGAGUCUGGAUGGGUAGGGGAGCGUCCUGUAGCCAGGGAAGCGGCGGAGUGAUCCAGUCGUGGAGGCUACGGGAGUGAGAAUGCAGGCAUGAGUAGCGAAAGACGAGUGAGAAACUCGUCCGCCGAAUGACCAAGGGUUCCUGGGCCAGGUUAAUCCGCCCAGGGUGAGUCGGGACCUAAGGCGAGGCCGACAGGCGUAGUCGAUGGACAACGGGUUGAUAUUCCCGUACCCGUGUAUCCGCGCCAAAUAUCGAAUCAGCUUUGCUAACCGCGCCAAAUAUCGAAUCAGCUUUGCUAACCAUCCAAAACCCAAAAGACUUCCUUCGGGAAGCUGGAGGGGGCUGCAUGGGACCCGGGUUGUAGUAGGUAAGCGAUGGGGUGACGCAGGAAGGUAGCUGGGCCAGUCAGUGGUUGUACUGGUGUAAGCCUGUAGGGCGUUGUGUAGGCAAAUCCGCACAGCAUGUGCCUGAGAGGUGAUGCGUAGCCGAUUGAGGCGAAUUCAGUGAUCCUAUGCUGCCGAGAAAAGCCUCUAGUGAGUUGGUACACGGCCCGUACCCCAAACCGACACAGGUGGUCAGGUAGAGAAUACUAAGGCGAUCGAGAGAACUGUGGUUAAGGAACUCGGCAAAAUGCCCCCGUAACUUCGGGAGAAGGGGGACCACGCCUGGUGACGGCCUUUACGGUCUGAGCUGGGUGGGGUCGCAGAGACCAGAGAGAAGCGACUGUUUACUAAAAACACAGGUCCGUGCGAAGUCGUAAGACGAUGUAUACGGACUGACGCCUGCCCGGUGCCGGAAGGUUAAGAGGACCGGUUAGCGCUUCGGCGCGAAGCUGAGAAUUUAAGCCCCGGUAAACGGCGGUGGUAACUAUAACCAUCCUAAGGUAGCGAAAUUCCUUGUCGGGUAAGUUCCGACCUGCACGAAUGGCGUAACGACUUCUCUGCUGUCUCAACCACAGACUCGGCGAAAUUGCAUUACGAGUAAAGAUGCUCGUUACGCGCGGCAGGACGAAAAGACCCCGGGACCUUCACUAUAGCUUGGUAUUGGUGUUCGGUACGGUUUGUGUAGGAUAGGUGGGAGACUGUGAAGCGGGCACGCCAGUGUUUGUGGAGUCAUCGUUGAAAUACCACUCUGAUCGUAUUGGACUUCUAACCUCGGACCAUGAUCUGGUUCAGGGACAGUGCCUGGUGGGUAGUUUAACUGGGGCGGUUGCCUCCUAAAAUGUAACGGAGGCGCCCAAAGGUUCCCUCAGCCUGGUUGGCAAUCAGGUGUCGAGUGCAAGUGCACAAGGGAGCUUGACUGUGAGAGCGACAGCUCGAGCAGGGACGAAAGUCGGGACUAGUGAUCCGGCACCGGCAAGUGGAAGCGGUGUCGCUCAACGGAUAAAAGGUACCCCGGGGAUAACAGGCUGAUCUUCCCCAAGAGUCCAUAUCGACGGGAUGGUUUGGCACCUCGAUGUCGGCUCGUCGCAUCCUGGGGCUGGAGUAGGUCCCAAGGGUUGGGCUGUUCGCCCAUUAAAGCGGCACGCGAGCUGGGUUUAGAACGUCGUGAGACAGUUCGGUCUCUAUCCGCCGCGCGCGUCAGAAACUUGAGGAAGGCUGUCCCUAGUACGAGAGGACCGGGACGGACGAACCUCUGGUGUGCCAGUUGUUCCGCCAGGAGCACCGCUGGUUAGCUACGUUCGGAAGGGAUAACCGCUGAAAGCAUCUAAGCGGGAAGCCUGUUCCAAGAUGAGGUUUCUCACCCUCUUGAAGGGUUAAGGCCCCCCACAGACCAUGGGGUUGAUAGGCCAGAACUGGAAGCCCGGUAACGGGUGUAGGUGACUGGUACUAAUCGGCCGAGGACUUACCAAC
RNAcentral lists this ribosomal RNA (3141 nucleotides) under Nocardia altamirensis NBRC 108246. RNAcentral describes it as "bacterial LSU rRNA". It matches the Rfam family "Bacterial large subunit ribosomal RNA". The record is from RNAcentral. Lineage: Bacteria; Bacillati; Actinomycetota; Actinomycetes; Mycobacteriales; Nocardiaceae.